This is a long non-coding RNA of Gopherus evgoodei (Goodes thornscrub tortoise), 130 nucleotides long. RefSeq lists it as uncharacterized. NCBI's taxonomy places the organism in Eukaryota, Metazoa, Chordata, Testudines, Testudinidae. The transcript has 4 exons. The record is from RefSeq and is a predicted model, not a curated record.
AAGUUCAAAGUCCGGGAAAGAGACCCUGAGAGGAAUGGGAACAGGGGCACAGGCAGGGCUCUGUGGCGUCAGAGCUGAGAAGGGGACACUGAGGAAGGAAAUUGGAAUCAUUGCUUGCUGGAAGUUUACC